CAAGUAUUACAGGAUGAUUGCAUUUACUUUUAGUAAAUGAGGAAAGUCCGGACUCCAUGUCAGUCUAGAACAUAUCUAGAUAGGUGCCAACGAGAGUUGGAAGGGAGUGAUCUUUUGGAUAAAAGGGCAACAGAAAGUUAUACCGCCUAAUUUAUUAGGUAAGGGUGAAAUGGUAGUGUAAGAGACUACCGGGUAUUACAGUAAUGCAAUAUCGCGUGGUAACCCCCUCCUGGAGCAAGGUUAAACCGCAUAGAUAGAUAAUCAUCGUUAUACAGAAUCCGGCUUAUUGUGUACUUGCACA
Molecule: RNase P RNA, 301 nt
Filed under: Candidatus Microgenomates bacterium
Lineage: Bacteria; Candidatus Microgenomatota
Description: RNase P RNA component class A
Rfam family: Bacterial RNase P class A
About the family: Ribonuclease P (RNase P) is a ubiquitous endoribonuclease, found in archaea, bacteria and eukarya as well as chloroplasts and mitochondria. Its best characterised activity is the generation of mature 5'-ends of tRNAs by cleaving the 5'-leader elements of precursor-tRNAs.
Source: RNAcentral